Molecule: long non-coding RNA, 1063 nt
Organism: Rhododendron vialii
Lineage: Eukaryota; Viridiplantae; Streptophyta; Magnoliopsida; Ericales; Ericaceae
Exons: 6
Source: RefSeq, a predicted model, not a curated record
CGUAAACCCACUGUUUGUGUAUAUAAGUAUCCAUAUUUUUUAUUUGAAGAGGAAAAAAUUAGCUACGCCGAGAGAUUACUUUGGGUUUCUUGAUUUGGAGUUUGAUUUCACCCAAAAAUUGGUCUCCACAGAGUUAGAUUGGGGAUUGAUGUAUGGAGUGGUUUACAGGCGAAGCUGAUCUGAUGGAAAGCUGGUUGUUCAAUGGUAGGAACAGUGGAUGUAUGUGAGGUGUAUGUCAGGUUGCUCGAUUAGAUAUGUCAGCCAACAAAGAGGAACUAAUUAGCGAAUUGUGUGACUCGAAUCACUCAAGAUUUCAGGAACUAAUUUACGAAUGGUGUGACCAGAAAUCACUCUAGUUUGAUAACCUACCGUAGACGGGGAUGCGCACUAAUGGAUGUCGGCGAUCCUUCCCAAAUCGACGGGUCCAACGGCAUGGGUUUUGAAAGUUGGGACGAGGGUUCGAGUUGGGGUUUGUUUUGAAGUCCAAUUGAAGAGUUUUGUAUCUGAAGGUAUGGGUGAUGAAGUUCUGAAGGUGUGGCUAUGUACUUUAGAAUUUUAUAUUACAUUCAAGGUGUUUGUAAGAUUGCCCAUAUGAGAAGUUUGAUUUCCAAUGAGAGUUUAUCACAAUCCUUCUUGGUUUUGAUGCCUAUAGCUAGCCUUACCCCAAUUAGUUGAGGCACAUAGCCAUUAGUUAAAAACCAAUUUCUUACAUAAUAUUUAGUUUUGUACUACUUUUAGCUACAACCAUGAUAUGGAAGGUUAUAAGAUCUUUGAUGGAUGUCUAAGACCAAAUAUAAUUUGUUUUUAGUUCACAGUUACUUCACCCAUAUGUUCUGAUCAUAACUCUUCCGAGAUAUGUGUUCAAGUCUUUUUUUCGUUCCCAGUUACUUCGCCCAUAUGUUCUGAUCAUAACUCCUUUGAGAUUAAUCUGAUUGUGGGUGUGUUGUUAAUUAUGGCUUGCAGGCUUCUUCAGAGUAUGUGUUGCUUUGUCAUGUAUCGGUUGGUACAUGUUGCUUAUCUCUUGAAAUUAAUUUUUCCAAAAAAAAUUGUUUGCUUGCUCCUU